UGUACGUACAAGCAGUGGGAGCACGCUUAGGCGUGUGACUGCGUACCUUUUGUAUAAUGGGUCAGCGACUUAUAUUCUGUAGCAAGGUUAACCGAAUAGGGGAGCCGAAGGGAAACCGAGUCUUAACUGGGCGUUAAGUUGCAGGGUAUAGACCCGAAACCCGGUGAUCUAGCCAUGGGCAGGUUGAAGGUUGGGUAACACUAACUGGAGGACCGAACCGACUAAUGUUGAAAAAUUAGCGGAUGACUUGUGGCUGGGGGUGAAAGGCCAAUCAAACCGGGAGAUAGCUGGUUCUCCCCGAAAGCUAUUUAGGUAGCGCCUCGUGAAUUCAUCUCCGGGGGUAGAGCACUGUUUCGGCAAGGGGGUCAUCCCGACUUACCAACCCGAUGCAAACUGCGAAUACCGGAGAAUGUUAUCACGGGAGACACACGGCGGGUGCUAACGUCCGUCGUGAAGAGGGAAACAACCCAGACCGCCAGCUAAGGUCCCAAAGUCAUGGUUAAGUGGGAAACGAUGUGGGAAGGCCCAGACAGCCAGGAUGUUGGCUUAGAAGCAGCCAUCAUUUAAAGAAAGCGUAAUAGCUCACUGGUCGAGUCGGCCUGCGCGGAAGAUGUAACGGGGCUAAACCAUG
This 631-nucleotide ribosomal RNA is filed under the name Escherichia coli. RNAcentral describes it as "partial 23S ribosomal RNA". It matches the Rfam family "Bacterial large subunit ribosomal RNA", at positions 559 to 1191 of the family's 2925-position model. Lineage: Bacteria; Pseudomonadati; Pseudomonadota; Gammaproteobacteria; Enterobacterales; Enterobacteriaceae. The record is from RNAcentral.